Molecule: ribosomal RNA, 492 nt
Filed under: uncultured bacterium
Lineage: Bacteria
Description: partial 16S ribosomal RNA
Rfam family: Bacterial small subunit ribosomal RNA
Source: RNAcentral
AGUGAACGCUGGCGGUAGGCCUAACACAUGCAAGUCGAACGGCAGCACAGUAAGAGCUUGCUCUUACGGGUGGCGAGUGGCGGACGGGUGAGGAAUACAUCGGAAUCUACUUUUUCGUGGGGGAUAACGUAGGGAAACUUACGCUAAUACCGCAUACGACCUACGGGUGAAAGCAGGGGAUCUUCGGACCUUGCGCGAUUGAAUGAGCCGAUGUCGGAUUAGCUAGUUGGCGGGGUAAAGGCCCACCAAGGCGACGAUCCGUAGCUGGUCUGAGAGGAUGAUCAGCCACACUGGAACUGAGACACGGUCCAGACUCCUACGGGAGGCAGCAGUGGGGAAUAUUGGACAAUGGGCGCAAGCCUGAUCCAGCAAUACCGCGUGAGUGAAGAAGGCCUUCGGGUUGUAAAGCCCUUUUGUUGGGAAAGAAGAGCAGCAGGUUAAUACCCCGCUGUUCUGACGGUACCCAAAGAAUAAGCACCGGCUAACUUCGUG